RNAcentral lists this ribosomal RNA (305 nucleotides) under uncultured bacterium. RNAcentral's name for it is "bacterial SSU rRNA". It matches the Rfam family "Bacterial small subunit ribosomal RNA", at positions 335 to 638 of the family's 1533-position model. The record is from RNAcentral.
AACCUACGGGGCGCAGCAGUGAGGAAUAUUGGUCAAUGGGCGAGAGCCUGAACCAGCCAAGUCGCGUGAAGGAUGACGGCCCUACGGGUUGUAAACUUCUUUUGUCAGGGAGCAAUUGGGUCCACGCGUGGGCUUAGCGAGAGUACCUGAAGAAAAAGCAUCGGCUAACUCCGUGCCAACAGCCGCGGUAAUACGGAGGAUGCGAGCGUUAUCCGGAUUUAUUGGGUUUAAAGGGUGCGUAGGCGGUCCGUUAAGUCAGCGGUAAAAUUGCGGGGCUCAACCCCGUCGAGCCGUUGAAACUGGCA